Long non-coding RNA from Quercus lobata, 179 nucleotides. RefSeq lists it as uncharacterized. The record is from RefSeq and is a predicted model, not a curated record. Lineage: Eukaryota; Viridiplantae; Streptophyta; Magnoliopsida; Fagales; Fagaceae. The transcript is spliced from 3 exons.
UCUACAUUAAUUCCUCAACCGCAUUUAAUGACUCGUGCUCCCCUUGAGGAGGAUGUGAACAUGUCGUUUGGAAGCAUGCUAUUGCAUGGUCUUACCUUGAGUGAAAAUGAUGGUGAUCUUGAGACUUGUUGCAGAGCUGUUGGUGUUCUUUCUCAUGUACUAAAGGAUAAUGUCCAGUG